This 236-nucleotide unclassified non-coding RNA is filed under the name uncultured fungus. RNAcentral's name for it is "sequence contains ITS2". The stretch from base 1 to 52 matches the Rfam family "5.8S ribosomal RNA", at positions 103 to 154 of the family's 154-position model. Lineage: Eukaryota; Fungi. The record is from RNAcentral.
AACGCACAUUGCGCCCCUUGGUAUUCCGAGGGGCAUGCCUGUUCGAGCGUCAUUAUAACCAAUCCCGUAAAGGGGUCUUGGGGCUCGCUAUAUAAGCGUCUCUUAAAAUUAAUAGCGGUACCGUUGUGCUCUAAGCGUAGUAAUUAUCCUCGCUAUAGAGUUCUACUAAGUACCUGCUAAACCCAUUAUUUUAUUAGGUUGACCUCGGAUCAGGUAGGGAUACCCGCUGAACUUAA